GAUGAACGCUGGCGGCGUGCCUAAUACAUGCAAGUCGAGCGAACGGACGAGAAUCUUGCUUCUCUGAUGUUAGCGGCGGACGGGUGAGGAACACGUGGAUAACCUACCUAUAAGACUGGGAUAACUUCGGGAAACCUGAUCUAAUACCGGAUAAGAUUUUGAACCGCAGGGUUCAACAGUGAAAGACGUUCUUGCUGUCACUUAUAGAGGUAUCCGCGCUGCAUUAGCUAGUUGGUAAGGUAACGGCCUACCAAGGCAACGAUGCAUAGCCGACCUGAGAGGGUGAUCGGCCACACUGGAACUGAGACACGGUCCAGACUCCUACGGGAGGCAGCAGUAGGGAAUAUUCCGCAAUGGGCGAAAGCCUGACGGAGCAACGCCGCGUGAGUGAUGAAGGUCUUCGGAUCGUAAAACUCUGUUAUUAGGGAAGAACAUAUGUGUAAGUAACUGCGCCCAUCUUGACGGUACCUACUCAGAAAGCACCGGCUAACUACGUG
This 497-nucleotide ribosomal RNA is filed under the name uncultured bacterium. Its description in RNAcentral is "partial 16S ribosomal RNA". It matches the Rfam family "Bacterial small subunit ribosomal RNA", at positions 28 to 507 of the family's 1533-position model. The record is from RNAcentral.